UCCGUUGGUGAACCAGCGGAGGGAUCAUUACUGAGUCUACGAACUCCCAACCAUUGUGAACAUACCACUGUUGCUUCGGCGGCCGCGCCCCGGGACGCCGCGUCCCGGACCCAGGCGCCCGCCGGAGGCCCCAAACUCCACUGUAACUUCUGUAUACAUCUGAGUGGCAUAAGCAAAUAAAUCAAAACUUUCAGCAACGGAUCUCUUGGUUCUGGCAUCGAUGAAGAACGCAGCAAAAUGCGAUAAGUAAUGUGAAUUGCAGAAUUCAGUGAAUCAUCGAAUCUUUGAACGCACAUUGCGCCCGCCAGUACUCUGGCGGGCAUGCCUGUCUGAGCGUCAUUUCAACCCUCAGGGCCCCUUCCCCCCGGGGAGGGGCGCCCUGGCGUUGGGGAUCGGCCGCCCCCCGCGGCGCGCCGGCCCCGAAAUGCAGUGGCGGUCCGUCCCGCGACCUCCUCCGUGCAGUAGCGAUACCUCGCGGCUGGAUGGCAGGUCGGGCCACGCCUCGAAACCCCCCAACUUCUUCAAGGUUGACCUCAGAUCAGGUAGGAAUACCCGCUGAACUUAAGCAUAUCAAUAAGCGGAGGA
RNAcentral lists this ribosomal RNA (585 nucleotides) under uncultured fungus. Its description in RNAcentral is "eukaryotic LSU rRNA". The stretch from base 186 to 339 matches the Rfam family "5.8S ribosomal RNA". The record is from RNAcentral. Lineage: Eukaryota; Fungi.